UGCCUGCCAUCACUCUAUCUGGACGGAAAUCAGCCUCCCGAGGGAGCUCGUCGUCGCCCCGUGCACUGCUUCCCGGAGUUCUUCACCGCGAGGCCUUCUUCGAGCCGUGGCGCGCCAAGGUCUUCGUCACCUCGCCUCCCUCGCCUCGCUGCGUCAUCGCCGCGGCAACAGCAGUAGUUCGCAAGCCCCGGCACCGCUCCUCCUCUGCGCGCCCGUCGCUGCUCCUCGAGCCCCUCUGCUCCACCCUGCACCGAGCGACAAGACACGCCGUCGUGCGUUGACCCAUCCUCUGCCUCGCUCUAAGGUCGCCUGAGCCUCACCUCCAGGACCCCGCGCCGCUGGAGAAAACCAGCGCCCGCCGUCGCCGGCGACCGAACCAUCACGCCGUCCCCUGGCCCUUGCCUUUUCCUUCUGUUUCUUCUCGCUGUCUCUCCUCUCUAAACUCUGUCGCUCUCUGCGUUUGUUCACGGGAGCAUGCCCCUGCACCGAGCCAUCCCCGACCUCCAUCUCGCUUCCCACGCCGCCGCCUUGCUCCGCCCUCGCCGUUGUCCCGCCGGUGAACAGCACCAGCAGGUCGUCCUCGCCGCCCCUCCUGUUCGUCUCGACCGCAAGUCCCGCGCCUGCUGGCUUCCUCUGCUUCGAGCGACAGGACGAGCGCCUCCCCGUCGUUGACCCGAUAUGGCUCUAGUGUGGAGAAGCGCCAAGGCCCAGCUCGCCCUUCAUCUCGCCUUCGCCCGUUGACCGCGGCCUAGCGUGCCCUUGCAGGCCUCCCUCUGCACCGACCCGGGCCAUGGCCCAUGGUGAGAAACCCCCCAGCGCCUCCUUUUUCCCCUUCUGUUGGGCCUGCUCCAGCCAGUUUCGGCCUGUUUAGGUUUUUUAUCGGUCCGGCAAAUUUGUCUAAUUAUCCAGUGAAUUACAGUUUGCAGAAAAACCCCUAGAGUUCAUGCAUUUAAUAACUCACAAGUGGUGCAUCAUAUGUAAAAAUUUAUAUAUGUAAAAUGCUUAGGAUUUCAUCUAGUUUCACAUUAUGCCACUUUCAUCCAUGUUUGAAAUGUUUAAAAUGUUGUUUGAUUAAAUUUGCUCAAAUAACAUACUAAAAUGAUUUAUUUCAUAACUAAUUAACCGUAGCUCCAAAUUUAAUAAACUUUAUAUGUAAAUGGGGUAGAAAAAUGCCUAGUUUAACAUGGUGCACUUUAUUUUGCUGUUUAACAACAUUCAAAUUGUGUUUAGGGAAGAACAGUAGCAAAUUCAAAAUAUGCAUAUGAGGAUUUUCCGGAAUUGUUGUUUGUUGUUCCGGCCUCAUUUAAACUUGCCUAAAUAGAUAGUUUACUUAUGCUUCACCUUUUUCCAUGUUUAACAACAUUUAAUAUUGUUGGGUACAUAACCGAGAGAGAACUAAAUGAUCGUAUGUGGUGUUUCGUCAAUAUGCAACGAGUUGCAUAUUGAGCUCCACUUAAUUUGUAGUAUUGUUUGUGCAUUUUGCUAUGCCAUGCCUCAUUAAAUCGGACAUGCAUCAUACUUGAUUGUGCAUCAUGCCAUGUUCAUGUGAUGGUUGUUUACUAUGUUGUUUGUUUCUUUCCGGGUUCCUUCUCUCGUUAGCUUCGGUUUCGUUCCGGAGUUGUGAGGAUUCGUUCGACUACGCCUGCUUGUCUUCUUCAUGGACUCGUUCUUCUUCCUAGCGGGAUCUCAGGCGAGAUGACCAUACCCUUGAAAUCACUUCUAUCUUUGCUUGCUAGUUGUUCGCUCUAUUGCUAUGCCGCGCUACCUACCACUUGCUAUAUCAUGCCUCCCAUAUUGCCAUGUCAAGUCUCUAGCCCACCUUUCCUAGCAAACCGUUGUUUGGCUAUGUUACUGCUUUUGCUCAGCCCCUCUUAUAGCGUCCUUAGUUGCAGGUGAAGAUGAAGUUUGUUCCUUGUUGGAACAUGGAUAUGUUGGGAUAUCACAACAUCUCUUAUUUAAAUUAAUGCAUCUAUAUACUUGGUAAACGGUGGAAGGCUCGGCCUUAUGCCUGGUGUUUUGUUCCACUCUUGCUGCCCUACUUUCCGUCGUACCGGUGUUAUGUUCCUUGAUUUUGCGUUCCUUACGCGGUUGGGUGAUUUAUGGGACCCCCUUGACAGUUCGCUUUGAAUAAAACUCCUCCAGCAAGGCCCAACCUUGGUUUUACCAUUUGCCUACCUAAGCCUUUUUCCCUUGGAUUCUGCAGACUCAAGGGUCAUCUUUAUUUUAAACCCCCGGGCCAGUGCUCCUCUGAGUGUUGGUCCAACCCGUCAGUCGCCGGUGGCCACCAGGGGCAACUCUAGGCUCGCCUAUCGGAAGCUUGGACAAUCCGGUGUGCCCUGAGAACGAGAUAUGUGCAGCUCCUAUCGGGAUUUGUCGGCACAUUCGGGCGGCUUUGUUGGUCUUGUUUUACCAUUGUCGAAAUGUCUUGUAAACCGGGAUUCCGAGACUGAUCGGGUCUUCCCAGGAGAAGGAAUAUCCUUCGUUGACCGUGAGAGCUUAUAAUGGGCUAAGUUGGGACACCCCUACAGGGUAUAAACUUUCGAGAGCCGUGCCCGCGGUUAUGAGGCAGAUGGGAAUUUGUUAAUGUCCGAUUGUAGAGAACUUGACACUUGACUUGUUUAAAAUACAUCAACCGUGUGUGUAACCGUGAUGGUCUCUUUUCAGCGGAGUCCGGGAAGUGAACACGGUUCGGGUUAUGCAUGAACGUAAGUAGUUUCAGGAUCACUUCUUGAUCAUUUCUAGCUUCGCGACCGUUGCGUUGCUCCUCUUCUCGCUCUUAUUUGCGUAUGUUAGCCACGAUAUAUGCUUAGUGCAUGCUGCAGCUCCACCUCAUUACCCCAUCUUUUCCUAUAAGCUUAAAUAGUCUUGAUCUCGCGGGUGUGAAAUUGCUGAGUCCUCGUGACUCACAGAUUCUACUAAAACAGUUGCAGGUGCCGAUGAGACCAGUGCAGGUGAUGCUACCGAACUCAAGUGGUAGUUCGACGAGGACCUUGGUCGUUACUAUGUUUCGUUUCCUGUUGAUCAGUAGUGGAGCCCAGUUGGGACGAUCAGGGAUCUAGCAUUUGGGGUUGUUUUCUUUUCUAUUGGUUCCGUAGUCGGACCUAUGUGUGUACUCUGAUUGAUGUAUGAUUUAUUUAUGUAUUGUGUGAAGUGGCAAUUGUAAGCCAACUCUUUAUCCCAUUCUUGUUCAUUACAUGGGAUUGUGUGAAGAUGACCCUUCUU
RNAcentral lists this long non-coding RNA (3222 nucleotides) under Triticum aestivum (bread wheat). Its description in RNAcentral is "long non-coding RNA (TAES_LNC000834)". Lineage: Eukaryota; Viridiplantae; Streptophyta; Magnoliopsida; Poales; Poaceae. The record is from RNAcentral.